Salvelinus sp. IW2-2015 is the source of this 2099-nucleotide non-coding RNA. NCBI's taxonomy places the organism in Eukaryota, Metazoa, Chordata, Actinopteri, Salmoniformes, Salmonidae. The record is from RefSeq and is a predicted model, not a curated record.
CAGACCAGAGCCCUAUGGCUCCCUGUUCCCUAUAUAGUGCACUACUUCAGACCAGAGCCCAAUGGCACCCUAUUGACUGGAGGGGCGCUAUUAAGGAAUAGUGCCAUUCGAGUUGCCUUCCCUUAGUCCAUAACAUCCCUGCUCUGCUCAGAGACAUUGUUGGGAUUUGGGAAUAUGGGAUUAUUUAAAAGCUAAAUCCAUUGCAAAAUUAUUUAACGGUCCAAUGCAGCUGUUUUUUAUUUCAAUAUCAAAUCGUUUCUGAGUAAUAAUUAAGUACCUUACUGGGAAUGUUGUCAAUUAAACUGGUCACAAAGAAGGAAAAAAAAAAUAUUCUUAGCAAAAGGCUAGAUUUUAGCUCGGGCUGUCUGGGAGUGGUCUGAGUGGGGAGGGGAAACAGAAAAUGAGCUGUUAUUGGCAGAGAGGUUUGGAACUCUUUCUUAUUGGUCUAUUAACUCAUUUACUGCAUGGUGACCAUGGAAGGACAAAACUCAAUCUCAACAAAAGAGGCUUACAUUUCAGCCGGUCUUUUCAAACCGCUUUUACACUUUAAAGGGCACUAUCAUCAUUUCACAGUAUUAUUCCAACCUCAUAGUGUGGAAAUAUAGAUAAAACACAGGAAAUCGUUUUUGACUGGGCCUUUAUUCUUUUAAUAUUUUUACAUAUUACAUUUUGGUUAAAUUAUUUGUAAUUAUUUCAGAUUUUAUAUAAUUUAUGACGUUGGGCUAUAAGAGAGCGAGGGAUGUUGUUGUUACUGUGUUUUUGGCACAUUUUCUACUAGCCCAGUCUGAAAAUUAGGCUAAACUUCCAUCCCUGAGCACAGUGCUUCCAUUUUAGCUGUGGGACUGAAUACUGUGUAACCUACUUGCUAAAUCAAACAUUAGCACUAUGAGUCUAUCUAUUUCUGCCUAUAAUGUUACCAUAGAGAAUCACACUAAUAUUUUCUAACUAAUUUAUGUAGAUUGAAAGGAUAAAAUAUAUAAUCUGUAUCACUGACAAAUUAUUUUAUUAAGAAAAUACAAAUUGCAUAAUUUUUGGGGGAAAUAUUGAAACCUUUAAUAUAUGACUUAUAGAGAUGCCUAUUAUGAAGGCUAUUGCUGUAUAGCAUUUUGAAGGAUUUUUCACCAGUUAGAUUGUUUUGGGACUAUGAAAUGACUUUAAAACUAAAAUGAAUUAGAAAAUAUACAAUAUGAUUGUACUCUAAAUGGUCUGGUUGUGACCGAGAUCACAUUCUAUUGUAAAUUAAAUGAUCAAAAAUCAAGGUUUUGUGGAGAGAAAAAAAAUGCUAUAUUAUGCAAAAAGCCUGAGGUACAUAUCCCAUCCUACAGCUGUUCUACAUCCAGCCUAUAGCGAGCCUCCUAUAAGACAGGGGUAUUCCACUCUUACCCUACAAGGUCCAGAGCCUGCUGGUUUUCUGUUCUACCUGAUAAUUGCACACACCUCGUGUCCCAGGUCUAAAUCAGUCCCUGAUUUAGAGGGGAACAAUGAAAAAAGGCAGUGGAUCUGGCUUGGAGGUCCAGAGUUUGAGGGGUGUAGACGUUAUGCAUGGUGCUCCCAUUCAUACUGUCUAUAUGUUAUCUGACUGUUCUAUACGUUGAACAGUGAACAAUGCACAGUGAAAAUGUAUUCUUCUGCUAUCUGCCUUAAUUUGCUGACUUGUAUAAAUCCACCUGAUAGGGGUUUCUAUGGGCUGAGAUCACCUGAUGGGGUUUUCUAUGGGUUGAGAUCACCCGAUGGGGUUUUCUAUGGGUUGAGAUCACCCGAUGGGGUUUUCUAUGGGUUGAGAUCACCCGAUGGGGUUUUCUAUGGGUUGAGAUCACCCGAUGGGGUUUUAUAUUGCCACCAACAGGACACCUGAGCUUCUCUGAUGUAAAUGCACCAUUAUCAAUGAAGACAUGGCAACAAUGGGUAAUUAUUCAUGUGAAGUACCAUGGCUUUUUUUAUUUACAAUGUGUGUAUUUUGUUGUACAUAUUUUCUGCUUGAAUGGUACUGCAGAGCAAUCCAAGCUGCUUUAUCGUUUUCUCAUUGUCACUCUUUAACUGGCCGUUAAAGUCCUUUUUGACAGUUUGUUCCUUCAAAAUAAAACAUUUUAUUUCUUAAA